CCAUUGUCACGCGUUACUCACCCGUCCGUGACUACUGGGGUAUCUAAUCCCAUUAUCACGCGUUACUCACCCGUCCGAAGGGCGAAUUCGCGGCCGCUAAAUUCAAUUCGCCCUAUAGUGAGUCGUAUUAAAUGGGGUAAUGGCCUACCAGGGCGUCGACGGGUAGCCGGCCUGAGAGGGCGACCGGCCACACUGGGACUGAGACACGGCCCAGACUCCUACGGGAGGCAGCAGUGGGGAAUAUUGCACAAUGGGCGAAAGCCUGAUGCAGCGACGCCACGUGAGGGAUGACGGCCUUCGGGUUGUAAACCUCUUUCAGCAGGGAAGAAGCGGUUGGGUUUUCUCAGUCGUGACGGUACCUGCAGAAGAAGCGCCGGCUAACUACGUGCCAGCAGCCGCGGUAAUACGUAGGGCGCAAGCGUUGUCCGGAAUUAUUGGGCGUAAAGAGCUCGUAGGCGGUCUGUCGCGUCUGGUGUGAAAUCCCAUGGCUCAACUGUGGGCUUGCAUCGGGUACGGGCAGACUAGAGUGCUGUAGGGGAGACUGGAAUUCCUGGUGUAGCGGUGGAAUGCGCAGAUAUCAGGAGGAACACCGAUGGCGAAGGCAGGUCUCUGGGCAGUUACUGACGCUGAGGAGCGAAAGCAUGGGGAGCGAAAAGGGAU
Molecule: ribosomal RNA, 660 nt
Filed under: uncultured Promicromonospora sp.
Lineage: Bacteria; Bacillati; Actinomycetota; Actinomycetes; Micrococcales; Promicromonosporaceae
Description: bacterial SSU rRNA
Rfam family: Bacterial small subunit ribosomal RNA
Source: RNAcentral